CCUACGGGAGGCAGCAGUAGGGAAUCUUCGGCAAUGGGGGCAACCCUGACCGAGCAACGCCGCGUGAGUGAAGAAGGUUUUCGGAUCGUAAAGCUCUGUUGUAAGUCAAGAACGAGUGUGAGAGUGGAAAGUUCACACUGUGACGGUAGCUUACCAGAAAGGGACGGCUAACUACGUGCCAGCAGCCGCGGUAAUACGUAGGUCCCGAGCGUUGUCCGGAUUUAUUGGGCGUAAAGCGAGCGCAGGCGGUUUGAUAAGUCUGAAGUUAAAGGCUGUGGCUCAACCAUAGUUCGCUUUGGAAACUGUCAAACUUGAGUGCAGAAGGGGAGAGUGGAAUUCCAGGUGUAGCGGUGAAAUGCGUAGAUAUAUGGAGGAACACCGGUGGCGAAAGCGGCUCUCUGGUCUGUAACUGACGCUGAGGCUCGAAAGCGUGGGGAGCGAACAGGAUUAGAUACCCUAGUAGUC
RNAcentral lists this ribosomal RNA (465 nucleotides) under uncultured Streptococcus sp. RNAcentral describes it as "bacterial SSU rRNA". It matches the Rfam family "Bacterial small subunit ribosomal RNA", at positions 338 to 795 of the family's 1533-position model. The record is from RNAcentral. Lineage: Bacteria; Bacillati; Bacillota; Bacilli; Lactobacillales; Streptococcaceae.